GCGGGGUUCUCCUAGCCUGGUAGGGAGCAGGCCUGCUAAGUCUGUGGUCCGUAGGGCCACGCGGGUUCAAAUCCCGCACCCCGCGCCA
This 88-nucleotide transfer RNA is filed under the name Candidatus Bathyarchaeota archaeon. RNAcentral describes it as "tRNA-Ser". It matches the Rfam family "tRNA". Rfam says of the family: Transfer RNA (tRNA) molecules are approximately 80 nucleotides in length. Their secondary structure includes four short double-helical elements and three loops (D, anti-codon, and T loops). Further hydrogen bonds mediate the characteristic L-shaped molecular structure. tRNAs have two regions of fundamental functional importance: the anti-codon, which is responsible for specific mRNA codon recognition, and the 3' end, to which the tRNAs corresponding amino acid is attached (by aminoacyl-tRNA synthetases). tRNAs cope with the degeneracy of the genetic code in two manners: having more than one tRNA (with a specific anti-codon) for a particular amino acid; and 'wobble' base-pairing, i.e. permitting non-standard base-pairing at the 3rd anti-codon position. RNAcentral also lists the same sequence under 2 other names. Lineage: Archaea; Thermoproteati; Candidatus Bathyarchaeota. The record is from RNAcentral.